Pelodiscus sinensis (Chinese soft-shelled turtle) is the source of this 3985-nucleotide non-coding RNA. NCBI's taxonomy places the organism in Eukaryota, Metazoa, Chordata, Testudines, Trionychidae. The record is from RefSeq and is a predicted model, not a curated record.
AGUCACUUGUCUGCAAGUGCACAUGAAUCUCUUCAGUCUCGGAGGGUGGUCAUUUCUCAUAAUAUGGAUAAAGCUUUGAAAGAAGUGUUUGACUACAGCUACAGAGAUUACAUUCUGUCCUGGUAUGGGCAUCUCAGCAAAGAUGAAGGACAGCUGUACCACCUGCUAUCUGAAGAUUUUUGGGAAGUUGCCAAGCAGCUGCGACAGAGGCUAAGUCACAUUGAUAUAGUUAAGGUUGUCUGCAACGAUGUAGUGAAAACUUUACUCACGCACUUCUGUGACCUUAAAGCAGCCAAUGCCAGGCAGGAAGAGCAGCCAAGGCCAUUUUUACUCCACCCUUGCUUAACGAACUCUGACGAAGAAGUAAGAUUCCUGCAAUCAUGUUCUCAAAUUCUGGUGUAUUGUCUCCUGCCCUCAAAGGAUGCCCAGUCUCUCAGCUUGCGCAUAGUCCUUGCAGACAUACUUGCAACAAAAGUACUGAAGCCAAUGGUGGAACUGCUGAGUGAUCCAGAUUAUGUCAACCAAAUGCUGCUCAGCCAGAUGGAAUACAGAGAACAGGUGAAUGAGCAUCACAAGAAAGCCUACACAUAUGCUCCUUCUUAUGAGGAGUUCAUCAAGCUCAUUAACAGCAAUUCUGACGUUGAAUUCCUGAAACAGCUAAGGUAUCAGAUCGUAGUGGAAAUAGUUCAAGCAACGACAAUCAGCAACUUUCCCCAAAUGAAAAGACAGAAAGAUACUAAAGCUAAAGAAACUGCUGCAAUGAAAGCUGACCUCUUGAGGGCCCGCAAUGUGAAAAGGUAUAUUAAUCAGUUGACUGUGGCAAAGAAGCAGUGUGAGAAGAGAAUAAGACUUCUAGGAGGUCCAGCUUACGACCAGCAGGAGGAUGGUGUAUCUGAUGAGAGUGAUGGGCAUCAGAGCCAGAAGAUUCUUCAGUUUGAGGAUAUUUUGGCUAACCCAUCCUAUCGAGAGCAUUUUCGAAUGUACAUGGAAAGGAUGGACAAGAGGGCUUUGAUUAGCCUUUGGGAGUCUGUGGAAUAUCUGAAGAAUGCUAACAAGACUGAAAUACCUCAACUAGUGAGUGAAAUUUAUCAGAAUUUCUUUGUGGAAACCAGAGAAAUCCCUGUGGAAAAGUCACUUUACAAAGAAAUACAACAAAGUCUUGUGGGCAAUAAAGGCAUUGAGGUUUUCUACAAAAUUCAGACUGAUGUUUAUGAAACACUAAAGGACAGGUACUACCCCUCCUUCAUUGUCAGUGAUUUAUAUGAGAGCCUAAUCAAGAAGGAAGAAGACAGAAUUGAAGUUCAGUUGACUUCUGAGGACAAGGAUGAUGUGAGUCAAGGUUGCGAAGAAGUUAUCGAUGAAUGCAACACAAGAAUUAAUGAACAGGCUAGUUAUGCUGCAAAUAAACUUCGCCAACUAAAUGACAAACUUGAAUAUAAGAGACAGGCUCUUAAUUCCUUAUGUAAUUCACCAAAACCUGACAAAAAGAUUGUUUCCAAAUUGAAAGAUGAAAUUACUCUAAUGGAGAGAGAACACAAUGACCUUCGAUUGCACAUUGCAAGAACAGACUGGUGGUGUGAAAAUCUUGGCAUGUGGAAAGCCUUCAUAAAUUCAGGAGAGGUUGUAGAAGAAAAUGGAGAACAAGUGCCCUGUUAUUUUGUUAUGGUGAAUUUACAAGAAGUUGGUGGAGCUGAAGCUAAGAGCUGGAGUGUUCCCAGAAAGCUCAGUGAGUUUCAGAAUCUACACCGAAAACUGAGUGAGUGUUUUCCAUCAUUAAAGAAAGUUCAGUUGCCUUCCCUCAGUAAGCUGCCCUUCAAAUCUGUAGAUCAGAAAUUCAUGGAAAAGUCCAAGAACCAGUUAAAUAAUUUCUUACAGAAGCUGCUUUCUGAUGAAAGAUUAUGUCAGAGUGAAGCACUUUAUGCCUUUUUGAGCCCUUCCCCUGAGCACCUCAAAGUUAUUGAUGUGCAAGGAAAGAAAUCUGCUUUUUCACUCUCAUCAUUUCUGGAAAGACUACCUGGUGAUUUCUUUUCUCAUCAAGAAGAAGAGACAGAAGAAGAUAGUGACCUGUCAGACUAUGGAGACGAUGUGGAUGGGAAACGAGAUGCUCUUGCUGAGCCAUGCUUCAUGCUGAUUGGAGAAAUUUUUGAGCUGCGAGGAAUGUUUAAGUGGGUCAGAAAGACACUAAUUGCACUAGUACAAGUCACUUUUGGAAGAACUAUCAACAAACAAAUACGUGACACAGUAAGCUGGAUAUUCAGCGAGCCAAUGCUUGUUUACUACAUCAGUGUAUUCCGAGAUGCUUUCUGGCCAAAUGGAAAAUUAGCAGCCCCAACAAGAUCCAAAAGUGAAGAGCAAAGUCAGGAGACAAAACAGAGAGCACAGCAAAAACUACUUGAAAACAUUCCAGGUGAGCCCAUCAUCUGUGUUUCAUUCCAGAUGCUCUGCAAAGCCUUGUUGGACAACAAAAUGCCCGUCAUGGUAUAAUCAAAGUGUUCAAUGCACUGCAAGAAACUAGAGCCAAUAAGCAUCUACUAUAUGUCUUGUUGGAACUGCUGCUAACUGAACUGUGUCCUGAGCUAAGAAUUCAUUCAGAGCAGCUUAAAGCUGCUCAUGUUUGAAUCUGCACAAGUGAACCACUAAAGAAAUGUCUGUGUAAAAAUAGACAUGAACCUUAUCUUCCUCUUUUCCACAGAGGGCUGAGGACUAUUAAGUAUUUUUUAGUUUUCUUUCUCCAGUUUUAUGUGAAGUAAACAGACUUGAAAAGAUCUGAUGCUGUAGUAGGGUAGAAGAACAAUGCUGUAUAAUUGCCAGUUUUAUUUAAAUUGUUAUAUUUGAAUACUUUUGGUUUAAGAUACAGACUGAAAUAUAAAUGUUAAUAUAAGUUGUAAGACUCUAGAAAAUAUUUUAAACGUUUAUGAUAAAUGAAGUUUUGCUUAAUAGUGGUAAAUUAAUUAAUGUUGUACAGUUAAUUUCCUCAUUGAGGAUUUGAAUACUCCUUUAUUCUUGUGUAUUGAAGAGCCCUGUUGUGCAAUAUUUCAUGUAAAGUUAUUGUGGAAAUUUUAUCUAUUUUAUUUUUACCAAAGACGUACCAUAAUUUGAAGCAUUUGUAAGCAAUAAAUACAAAAUUGGAUUAUGGUAUUUAAUGAUAAUUAGUAGUUAGUGGAUGAGUUUGAAUCAUUCCUUGCAGAGAGAAUAUUUUCACCAUACUAUAUAGUCUGUCCAACAGGUCACAUGAAUGAGUGUGUCAUAAUGGAAUGCAUCUGAUCAAUCACUAAUUAGAAAUUGCUUACUGCCUUGAUUUGCUGACAUUCAAAGCACUCUUAUUGCACUCUGACAUUAUUCAGGAUUGCUGUGUUUAAAUGCACAUAACUUUUAAAUCUAGUCCUGAUUUUAUGCAAGGGAAGUAAAACAAAUACAUCUUUGUGUAGUGCUUUUUCAUUCAUGUGUAAGAACAUGUAAAUGGUUGUAAUGAACACAUGAACAGCUGAAUACCAUCAAAUGUUUGUAGGUAACAAUCAUUACUUUCUUUUACACUAAGUCAAUAUAACUGUGGUAUCUUUGAGAGAGAGCAACUGGCUUACAAUUUAGACGGACUACAGUUAAGUUUUGAAACCAACACCCAUAUACUACUGUGAAGUUUAUUGUAACAGCAAGAUUUCUCUGAUAAUACAGCUUUCAGUUUCCUAUUCCACAGCAUAGCUUAAAGAGCUACCUACAUUCUGUUGGAGAUGGAAAGCUAUAUAAUUAAAAACUUGAGAAUAUGUAACCAGAAUACAGCAAUAGGCAAAUCUCACAGGGGAGAAAGUGAUACAGUAGAAGGUACAGUAUAAUGUGGCUGCUCCAUGGUGUAACCUAUGGCUACUUUUUCUGACAGUUGAGAUGUCAGUUCGUAUUAAUAGCAAUAGCUAAGACUCCAAUAUGGAUAAGGAUUAAGACAGAUAGUUAUAGUCUAGAACCGUGGUCACCAACCCAUCGAUCAUGAUCG